GAGACUUGAAUUGGGUUAUAAUCUUGUUUCUUUUGCGCCUUAGAAGUAUAUUGUAGUUACAUCCAAUAUUCUUCCACCCCCUUAAAGCUCUCAUUGAUGUCUUCUCUUAAGUUCUUAGAUGCCUUAAGAGUGUCUUGGGGUUGUAUCCAAUGUGAAUCCUCUUUGUUUCCAUGUCUGCGAACCCUCAUAUCAUCUUCUAAUGUAGAUCGCUUUGAAGGUUGUUCCACAUGUUUUAGAGAUGUAUACUCCUCCCUCCUAUCACACUGUACUGGAGCAAACCGCUUUCUCAUUGCUGUUUUUAAUUCUGCCCAUGUCUCGAACGGACGCUCCCCAUGUUUUUGUUUGCUAAGCUGCCACCAUAUAAUUGUAUGAUCGGAGAACUCUUGAACUGCCCGUCUGACCUUCCUCCGCUCGGAGUAAUCAUGACAGUCAAAUUCUCGCUCCAUUUUUCUCUCCCAUCUCAGAUAUGCCUUUGUAUCAAUAUUGCCCUGGAAAGUAUUCCUUCGAGACCCAUAAGAACUUUCAUAAUUGUAGCCAUACAUGUUUGCUACAAAACAAAGGUUAGUAGAUAAAAAUUUUCCUCACACUCCCUUACGUGUUUCGCUCAAAUAAUGAUGAAUCACUCGUGUAUCACUCAAAUUUGGCUUUUGCCCUCGAUUAUUCUCACCACUAAGCCUUUUACCUCAAAUAUUCUCUCUAAUAGGUUCUUUUUGAAUUCCCCUCGCAAAAUUCUUGGUUUUACUAAUCAAUUCAAAAAUUACUUAUCACGAAACAAAAAAAAAUAUAGAUGGUGUGAUUAUCAGAAUACCACAAAAUCACCGAUUGAUUGCCUUAUGCCUCAGAUUUGUAAUUUGUAACUCUGUUUCAGAAUUGAUGAUGAUGGAACGGUAUGAACUCUUGGUUGGAAUUUGAUGAUUUGAUGGUGUGCUACAAAUUUGGUUAGCACAAUGGAAAAUAAAAUCUGAUUUUUUUUUGUUUUUGUUUUUUUAUAUAUAUUUCGACAGAAAAGUAAAGAUAAGUAACUCGCUAGAAAGGCUUGGCUUUGAUACCAAAUGAUAGACUCUACGGCACGCUUGCGUGAGGUUGUCGUCGCCCGGAUCGUUUCUAGAACAGUUGUUGGGUGAAUUGCUUGCAACACCUUAACCCCUCGUCUAUACUUUAGACGGUAAUCUCGGUACAAUCGACGAUUGAUGCGGUAGAAGACGCCAGACACAACUAUGAAUUGUUGUAUGAUAAGUCAAAUUGAAUCUCAAAGAAAUAACUAAGAAAAUACUCUUUUCUUAGGAAUUCUUCAAAGAACCAAAAGUAGAGAAUAACCUCACAAGUUUAUUGAAUAAUGAAUAAUGUAUAUUGUGUUUGAUUACAUCAACUUGGACCUCUAUUUAUACUACUCAAAACAAUCCAAAUCCUAAUAGAAAUUUAUAAACUAUAACCCUAAUUUCUAUAAGGAAAUAGAAGUCAAUUUGGAAAGAAAUUCUAAUUAAAAAGAAAUCCUAAUUACAAUAGAAUUAUAAAAAUCUAAAAAUCCUUGCCGGGUAAAAGAAAUUAUUUGCCGCGUUAGAAUCUUUGCCGCGUGAACAUUCAUCCGUUAAUUUAGUUGGCUGCUGACUAUGCCUCAUGAUAUGCUAGAAACCCAACUUGAUUUGCUUGCUAAAUAUGUGAAUAAACCGCGGCCCACAUGCUUGAAUAUAACCCUUGCUCCAUGUUUGGUAAACAUAAAUGAAUACGUGUCCCAUAAUAUGUUAACUUGUUAAAGUAGAUGCAUGGUUGCUUAAUAUAUUUGAUGGCCCACAUGUGAAUAGUCUAAUCCUCCUUUCCAUGCAAUCUGACAUAUUAACAUGUUGAAUACAAGAUGAUGUCCCAUAAUAUUUGACCCACUAUGCUCCACAUAAAAUCCAUGCAUAGACUGAAUUGAAUGGGCCAAUUGGAUCGACCCAAUAAUACUUGAAUUGUACUCCUUUGAAUAACUUCAACCCAAUUAUUUAAAAUUAUUUGAUGAACCACUGAGACUUGAAUUGGGUUAUAAUCUUGUUUCUUUUGCGCCUUAGAAGUAUAUUGUAGUUACAUCCAAUAUUCUUCCACCCCCUUAAAGCUCUCAUUGAUGUCUUCUCUUAAGUUCUUAGAUGCCUUAAGAGUGUCUUGGGGUUGUAUCCAAUGUGAAUCCUCUUUGUUUCCAUGUCUGCGAACCCUCAUAUCAUCUUCUAAUGUAGAUCGCUUUGAAGGUUGUUCCACAUGUUUUAGAGAUGUAUACUCCUCCCUCC
RNAcentral lists this long non-coding RNA (2261 nucleotides) under Panax ginseng (ginseng). Its description in RNAcentral is "long non-coding RNA (PGIN_LNC005390)". Lineage: Eukaryota; Viridiplantae; Streptophyta; Magnoliopsida; Apiales; Araliaceae. The record is from RNAcentral.